UUGGAGGGCAAGUCUGGUGCCAGCAGCCGCGGUAAUUCCAGCUCCAAUAGCGUAUAUUAAAGUUGUUGCAGUUAAAAAGCUCGUAGUUGAAUUUCGGGAUCAAGGAAUCGGUCAUGCCUCGGUAUGUACUGGUUUUAUUGGUUCUCACCUUCUAAAGAACCAUAAUGUCAUUUAUUUGGUGUUAUGGGGAAUUAGGACUGUUACCUUGAAAAAAUUAGAGUGUUUAAAGCAAGCUUACGCUUGAAUACAUUAGCAUGGAAUAAUGAAAUAGGACAUCCGAUUCUAUUUUGUUGGUUUCUAGGAUCGAUGUAAUGAUUAAUAGGGAUAGUUGGGGGCAUUAGUAUUCAAUUGUCAGAGGUGAAAUUCUUGGAUUUAUUGAAGACUAACUACUGCGAAAGCAUUUGCCAAGGAUGUUUUCAUUAAUCAAGAACGAAAGUUAGGGGAUCGAAGACGAUCAGAUACCGUCGUAGUCUUAACCAUAAACUAUGCCGACUAGGGAUCGGAUGAUGUUUAUUUUUUAGUGACUCAUUCGGCGCCUUACGGGAAAC
RNAcentral lists this ribosomal RNA (548 nucleotides) under uncultured Septoglomus. RNAcentral describes it as "SSU rRNA". It matches the Rfam family "Eukaryotic small subunit ribosomal RNA", at positions 548 to 1098 of the family's 1831-position model. Lineage: Eukaryota; Fungi; Glomeromycota; Glomeromycetes; Glomerales; Glomeraceae. The record is from RNAcentral.